RNAcentral lists this long non-coding RNA (451 nucleotides) under Elaeis guineensis (African oil palm). RNAcentral describes it as "long non-coding RNA (EGUI_LNC032224)". The record is from RNAcentral. Lineage: Eukaryota; Viridiplantae; Streptophyta; Magnoliopsida; Arecales; Arecaceae.
UCCUUCCCUUUCUUCUCCACUUUUUUCAUCCAUUCUCCUCCUCCUUUUUUUCCUCUCCUUCCUUCUCAUGCACUUCUUCUUCUCAUCCUUUUUUUCCAAACGACUCACAAACUAUCCCUCUUUAUGGUGGCCUCCUCCAUCUUUGUCCAUUUUUGCCUUUUACAUCUUCCUCCCUAUCCUUUUCUCCUUCCCUUCCUCUUUCUUCAUCCUAUUCCUUGCCGGUGGCCUCUCUACCUUCCUUCUUUUCCUUCUCGUUCUCUUUCUCUUUUAAACCAACUCAUGAGUCCUAUCCCUUAAGAUGGCCCCCUUUAAAUCUACCCCUUAUCACUGGCAAAAAAAUCCUUCUCAUCCCUUUCUUUCUCACUCAUUUCUUUUUCUUCAUGAUGGCUCCCUCCACCUUCUUUUCUUCAUCAUCUAUUUCACCUCCUCAUCCUCUUUUUUCUUCAAACCG